Molecule: ribosomal RNA, 458 nt
Filed under: uncultured bacterium
Lineage: Bacteria
Description: partial 16S ribosomal RNA
Rfam family: Bacterial small subunit ribosomal RNA
Source: RNAcentral
AACGAACGCUGGCGGCAUGCCUAACACAUGCAAGUCGAACGAGACCUUCGGGUCUAGUGGCGCACGGGUGCGUAACGCGUGGGAACCUGCCCUUAGGUUCGGAAUAACUCCCCGAAAGGGGUGCUAAUACCGGAUAAUGUCUUCGGACCAAAGAUUUAUCGCCUUUGGAUGGGCCCGCGUUGGAUUAGCUAGUUGGUAGGGUAAAAGCCUACCAAGGCGACGAUCCAUAGCUGGUCUGAGAGGAAGAUCAGCCACACUGGGACAGAGACACGGUCCAGAAUCUGAGGGGAGGCAGCAGCGGGGAAUAUUGGACGAUGGGCGAAAGCUGGAUGUAGCAAUACCGCGUGGGGGAAGAAGGACCUCGGGUGGUAAAGAAAUUUUGGUGGGAAAGAAAAGCAGCAUGUUAAUACCCCGUUGUUCAGACGGUACCGAAAGAAUAAGCACCGGCUAACUUCGUG